Molecule: non-coding RNA, 155 nt
Organism: Vigna umbellata (rice bean)
Lineage: Eukaryota; Viridiplantae; Streptophyta; Magnoliopsida; Fabales; Fabaceae
Source: RefSeq, a predicted model, not a curated record
GUGCCUUGCCCUACUGGUUGGGUCGAUCCGAUUCCCGAGCAUGCCAUUCGUAUGGCACAAGCUCUUGGACGAGCGGUCCAUGUUGACGAUGUCUUUGCACAGACCCAUGUUCGGAAGGGCACUAAUGAAUUCGUUGAUGAAAGGUCUCGCAAGAC